UAUACUUCAUUUUGUUAAUCAAAGUUACUCAAGUUCCCAUCUGGAACCUUGAGUUUCAUCUUAUAACACAGAAAGGAUUACAAUACCAAUUGCCUAAUCCAAUUACAAUUUGACAGGUUCUAUAGGCUGUAGCCAAGAUGGAUGAGAUCUGAAUCUCCUGUAUCUUUGAGAGAUACAUAAAGUGAGAUAGUGUAAGUAUUCUCAACUAAUGAAAUACUUUAGCUGAAAAGUAUCCAUUCCUCGGCUUAAUUCUGAAGUUGCAGAUUCCCGCUUUCAUUAUUCUUCAGUGCAGCUAUAACAUGUCUAGGCAAGGAGACAGCAAAUUCGGAGACAGCUUCAGUGAAGGUUUUACUUUUUCUUAGUAUUUCCCCCCCAAUUAGCUAGUUAAUCUGCUAUUUCCUUCUCUCCAGGCAUGUGUAAAUUCCACCUAGUGUUCUGAUAUUGUGAAUUACAAUUAUGAGAGAUCUGCCACACCUGCUUAGACACUUUAGUGACCAAGUUAUUGAUCACUUCAGAAUCUGUUUCAAUCACCAGUACUAAGAGACAACGAUUAGAAUAAUAUUUGAACAAGAAAGAUGGCAAGAAUUUUGUUGGGGUUUCCGACUUGGAAGUACAAGAAAUAUCUAAUAAAGCAUACCACCACCAUACAAAGAACACUGACCUGGAUUGUGAUCACCAGCUCCACCAAAUUACCUCAUCCGAAAAAAAUGAGAAAAACUCCUAAGCGAAUGGUUUAAGGAAAAGUACAGCCAAAUAUGAUAUGAAUAAAAUAAAUGAAGAACUUGGGAGAACUCACAGAAUUUUGGAAAGCAAUUCGUUAUCAAAUAGCAGAAGGUAAAAAUAUAAUCAGAUAAAUCAAGAUCACGUUGUUAAUUAUCAGAUCCACACCAUAUAUGUGAAGGAAUGACCCUGAAAAAGCAAUUACCUUAAAAUUCAUCCAACAUAUGACUAGCUCCAAAUUAAACCUAAAUACCAGAUGUUGAUAAACACAGAAAAGCGCAUAGAUAAAACAUAAAUAGAUUAGAGAGACAGUGGUGGGGGUGACAGAUAGAGCAGCGAGCACACAUAGCUUCAAGCAUAGACUGAUUUCAUGCCAGAAAACAGCAUGUGUGCUCACUCUCUUCUGUCACCUCCCUUUAUUUACCCCUUUAUAUCGUUAACCUGGAUCUUAGGAUGCAAUUCUCUUCAAUAACAAACCCUAGAUCUGAAACAAUAGCAACUACUGUUUUAGAAUAAUGAUUUUGAUUUAUGAUUUGAUGUGUGAGGAAUAAUGGAGAGUCUUAUGCCCUUUAUAUAGGUAGAUUGAACCAGACAUUUGCAUCACGUAACGAAUAAAUGUGUGUUUAUCCCUUUCUUUAUGAGUCUAUCCCCACAUGCACUGUUAUGGAGAUUCCCACAGCACUGACACAAACACAGAGGAUAAAACGAUCAACCAUUUUUUUUAAAAACAUUUCCCGAAUAACUCGUAACUAACUUACCAGAGGAGAGGACCUGCAUAUAUCCAAAAUUACUCUUAUCGAAAUUUCUUGGAAUUCUUACCUCCUUCCAUUUCAACUUAUAAGGA
This 1564-nucleotide long non-coding RNA is filed under the name Nicotiana tabacum (common tobacco). RNAcentral describes it as "long non-coding RNA (NTAB_LNC014111)". Lineage: Eukaryota; Viridiplantae; Streptophyta; Magnoliopsida; Solanales; Solanaceae. The record is from RNAcentral.